This 467-nucleotide ribosomal RNA is filed under the name uncultured bacterium. RNAcentral's name for it is "partial 16S ribosomal RNA". It matches the Rfam family "Bacterial small subunit ribosomal RNA", at positions 28 to 506 of the family's 1533-position model. The record is from RNAcentral.
GACGAACGCUGGCGGCGUGCUUAACACAUGCAAGUCGAACGGAAAGGCCCUGCUUUUGUGGGGUGCUCGAGUGGCGAACGGGUGAGUAACACGUGAGUAACCUGCCCUUGACUUUGGGAUAACUUCAGGAAACUGGGGCUAAUACCGGAUAGGAGCUCCUGCUGCAUGGUGGGGGGUGGAAAGUUUUGGCGGUUGGGGAUGGACUCGCGGCUUAUCAGCUUGUUGGUGGGGUAGUGGCUUACCAAGGCUUUGACGGGUAGCCGGCCUGAGAGGGUGACCGGCCACAUUGGGACUGGGGUGCGGCCCAGACUCCUACGGGGGGCAGGAGUGGGGAAUAUUGCACAAUGGGCGGAGGCCUGAUGCAGCAACGCCGCGUGCGGGAUGACGGCCUUCGGGUGGUAAACCGCUUUCGCCUGUGACGAAGCGUGAGUGACGGUAAUGGGUAAAGAAGCACCGGCUAACUACGU